Molecule: ribosomal RNA, 385 nt
Filed under: uncultured bacterium
Lineage: Bacteria
Description: bacterial SSU rRNA
Rfam family: Bacterial small subunit ribosomal RNA
Source: RNAcentral
AUUGAACGCUGGCGGCAUGCCUUACACAUGCAAGUCGAACGGCAGCGCGGGAGCAAUCCUGGCGGCGAGUGGCGAACGGGUGAGUAAUAUAUCGGAACGUGCCCAGUAGUGGGGGAUAGCCCGGCGAAAGCCGGAUUAAUACCGCAUGAGACCUGAGGGUGAAAGCGGGGGAUCGCAAGACCUCGCGCUAUUGGAGCGGCCGAUAUCAGAUUAGCUAGUUGGUGGGGUAAAGGCCUACCAAGGCAACGAUCCGUAGCGGGUCUGAGAGGAUGAUCCGCCACACUGGGACUGAGACACGGCCCAGACUCCUACGGGAGGCAGCAGUGGGGAAUUUUGGACAAUGGGCGCAAGCCUGAUCCAGCCAUGCCGCGUGAGUGAAGAAGGC